AGCCUGAACGCUGGCGGCGUGGCUAAGACAUGCAAGUCGAACGGACGUAGCAAUACGUCAGUGGCGGACGGGUGAGUAAUGAAUCGCUAACGUACCCCGGAGCCAGGGAUAGCUGCCCGAAAGGGCAGGUAAUACCUGAUGAGACCACAAGCAGGCAUCUGCUGGUGCUCAAAGCCGCAAGGCACUCUGGGAGCGGGCGAUUUUGAUCAGCUAGUUGGUGAGGUAAUGGCUCACCAAGGCGACGACGCAUAGCCGGACUGAGAGGUUGGCCGGCCACAUUGGGACUGAGACACUGCCCAGACUCCUACGGGGGGCUGCAGUAACGAAUCUUCCGCAAUGUACGCAAGUAUGACGGAGCGACGCCGCGUGUAGGACGAAGCCCUUCGGGGUGUAAACUACUGUCAGGGGAAAGAAGUUCUGAUCUACCCCAGAGGAAGGACGGCUAACUCUGUGCCAGCAGCCGC
RNAcentral lists this ribosomal RNA (464 nucleotides) under uncultured bacterium. RNAcentral describes it as "SSU rRNA". It matches the Rfam family "Bacterial small subunit ribosomal RNA", at positions 26 to 518 of the family's 1533-position model. The record is from RNAcentral.